UACGGAGGGUGCAAGCGUUGCUCGGAAUUAUUGGGCGUAAAGCGCGUGUAGGCUGUUACUUAAGUCUGGUGUGAAAUCCCGGGGCUUAACCCCGGAAGUGCAUUGGAUACUGAGUAACUAGAGGGCAGAAGAGGAUGGUGGAAUUCCUGGUGUAGGGGUGAAAUCCGUAGAUAUCAGGAGGAACAUCGGUGGCGAAGGCGGCCAUCUGGUCUGCACCUGACGCUGAGACGCGAAAGCGUGGGUAGCAAACAGG
RNAcentral lists this ribosomal RNA (253 nucleotides) under uncultured bacterium. Its description in RNAcentral is "partial 16S ribosomal RNA". It matches the Rfam family "Bacterial small subunit ribosomal RNA", at positions 524 to 776 of the family's 1533-position model. The record is from RNAcentral.